Lolium rigidum is the source of this 390-nucleotide long non-coding RNA. RefSeq lists it as uncharacterized. The transcript is spliced from 2 exons. The record is from RefSeq and is a predicted model, not a curated record. NCBI's taxonomy places the organism in Eukaryota, Viridiplantae, Streptophyta, Magnoliopsida, Poales, Poaceae.
GGGACGUUCCAAAGGUCGGACACCUAAUCCUUAGGAUUUUUGCAGGGAGCUCAUAGAUCCAAGAUCUUCCGAAUAAAAUGGGCUGUGUUAGCAAAAUAUGUUUCUCAUAGCGAUGCCCGAAAACCGGAAACACCCACUUAUAGUGUAGCUGUAAAUUUUACGUUCUGGUGUUGGUACUUCUUCUUGUGACAAUGACAACCCUUACAAGAGUUUAAUGCUGGACAUUAGUAGUUGCUCUGCCUGUAUUCGUUUGCUCAUGGUGAAUAUCUCUAUGGAUGUUGUGUGUUACUUUGUACACAUUGAAUUACUUACAUCGUUUGAUAGUCAAACUUGUUGGUAUGUGUAGUGUAGAUUCAUAAAAGUACUUGGUACAAAACUAAAUAUCCUCUA